Molecule: microRNA precursor, 120 nt
Filed under: Olea europaea subsp. europaea
Lineage: Eukaryota; Viridiplantae; Streptophyta; Magnoliopsida; Lamiales; Oleaceae
Source: RNAcentral
UCAUAGAACCCAUGAAACUCAGGAUGGAUAGCGCCAUAUGUCAUCUACCACCACACUUGUGGAGAUAACAGUCAAGAUGACACAUGACGCUAUCCCUCCUGAGCUUUAUGGAUUCCCCAU